This 33-nucleotide ribosomal RNA is filed under the name uncultured Atheliaceae. RNAcentral describes it as "partial 28S ribosomal RNA". Lineage: Eukaryota; Fungi; Basidiomycota; Agaricomycetes; Atheliales; Atheliaceae. The record is from RNAcentral.
UUGACCUCAGAUCAGGUAGGACUACCCGCUGAA